RNAcentral lists this ribosomal RNA (460 nucleotides) under uncultured bacterium. RNAcentral's name for it is "partial 16S ribosomal RNA". It matches the Rfam family "Bacterial small subunit ribosomal RNA", at positions 338 to 795 of the family's 1533-position model. The record is from RNAcentral.
CCUACGGGUGGCAGCAGUGAGGAAUAUUGGUCAAUGGACGCAAGUCUGAACCAGCCAUGCCGCGUGCAGGAAGACGGCUCUAUGAGUUGUAAACUGCUUUUGUACGAGGGUAAACGCAGAUACGCGUCUCUGUCUGAAAGUAUCUUACGAAUAAGGAUCGGCUAACUCCGUGCCAGCAGCCGCGGUAAUCCGGAGGAUUCAAGCGUUAUCCGGAUUUAUUGGGGUUAAAGGGUGCGUAGGCGGUCUGUUAAGUUAGGGGUGAAAUCCCGAGGCUCAACUUCGGAAUUGCCUCUGAUACUGUUAGGCUAGAGAGUAGGUGCGGUAGGCGGAAUGUAUGGUGUAGCGGUGAAAUGCUUAGAGAUCAUACAGAACACCGAUUGCGAAGGCAGCUUACCAAGCUACUUCUGACGUUGAGGCACGAAAGCGUGGGGAGCAAACAGGAUUAGAUACCCGAGUAGUC